RNAcentral lists this ribosomal RNA (253 nucleotides) under uncultured bacterium. RNAcentral describes it as "partial 16S ribosomal RNA". It matches the Rfam family "Bacterial small subunit ribosomal RNA", at positions 524 to 776 of the family's 1533-position model. The record is from RNAcentral.
UACAGAGGGUGCAAGCGUUGUCCGGAAUCACUGGGCGUAAAGGGCGCGUAGGCGGCCCGAUAAGUAGGGGGUGAAAUCUUGCGGCUCAACCGCAAGGCUGCCUUCUAGACUGUCGGGCUUGAGCACAGUAGAGGCAGGUGGAAUUCCCGGUGUAGCGGUGGAAUGCGUAGAGAUCGGGAAGAACAUCGGUGGCGAAGGCGGCCUGCUGGGCUGUUGCUGACGCUGAGGCGCGACAGCGUGGGGAGCAAACCGG